AUGGCAUCUAGUUGGAAAUUGAUGAACAUUAUGCAGUCUCUCUGCCUUAGCUAUUAUGGCAUAGAUACCUAUCUUUCCCAUAUCCAAGCCUUAUCGGAUCUCUUUAUGAAAAUCUGGGAAGCUCAAUCCACGGACCCAUAACUAACCAAGAAUCUAGGUAAGUUCAUUUUUAAUGAAUCUCUUAAUUUUAGGAUUUUAAAUGAUGGACUGUUCAGAUUCUCGAACCGAAUUUGGGUCCCUGUUGUUGUAAGGGCGGAUUUUCUCAAGACCACCCACGCAUCCAAGCUAUCCAUCCAUCCCGAAAGUACCAAAAUGUACUUAGACUUGAAGUGUCACUACUGACAGCCAGGAAUAAAAAGGGAUAUAGUUGACUACAUCUCCUGAUGCCUUACUUAUCAAUAGAUUAAGGCAGAACAUUAG
Molecule: long non-coding RNA, 420 nt
Filed under: Carica papaya (papaya)
Lineage: Eukaryota; Viridiplantae; Streptophyta; Magnoliopsida; Brassicales; Caricaceae
Description: long non-coding RNA (CPAP_LNC008923)
Source: RNAcentral